UCUCCGUUGGUGAACCAGCGGAGGGAUCAUUACCGAGUUAUCAACUCCCAAACCCCUGUGAACAUACCCAACGUUGCUUCGGCGGGACCGCCCCGGCGCCCUUGGCGUCCCGGAACCAGGCGCCCGCCGGAGGACCCAAACUCUUGUUUAAACCAUAGUGGCAUAUUCUGAGUCUCACAAGAAAAAUGAAUCAAAACUUUCAACAACGGAUCUCUUGGCUCUG
This 223-nucleotide unclassified non-coding RNA is filed under the name plant metagenome. RNAcentral's name for it is "partial contains small subunit ribosomal RNA, internal transcribed spacer 1, and 5.8S ribosomal RNA". The record is from RNAcentral.